This 492-nucleotide ribosomal RNA is filed under the name uncultured bacterium. RNAcentral describes it as "partial 16S ribosomal RNA". It matches the Rfam family "Bacterial small subunit ribosomal RNA", at positions 29 to 507 of the family's 1533-position model. The record is from RNAcentral.
AGUGAACGCUGGCGGUAGGCCUAACACAUGCAAGUCGAACGGCAGCACAGUAAGAGCUUGCUCUUACGGGUGGCGAGUGGCGGACGGGUGAGGAAUACAUCGGAAUCUACUUUUUCGUGGGGGAUAACGUAGGGAAACUUACGCUAAUACCGCAUACGACCUACGGGUGAAAGCAGGGGAUCUUCGGACCUUGCGCGAUUGAAUGAGCCGAUGUCGGAUUAGCUAGUUGGCGGGGUAAAGGCCCACCAAGGCGACGAUCCGUAGCUGGUCUGAGAGGAUGAUCAGCAACAAUGGAACUGAGAAACGGUCCAGACUCCUACGGGAGGCAGCAGUGGGGAAUAUUGGACAAUGGGCGCAAGCCUGAUCCAGCAAUACCGCGUGGGUGAAGAAGGCCUUCGGGUUGUAAAGCCCUUUUGUUGGGAAAGAAAAGCAGCAGGUUAAUACCCCGCUGUUCUGACGGUACCCAAAGAAUAAGCACCGGCUAACUUCGUG